UGAAACAUUGGUACCUGUUUGAUAACCAAAGUUAAGCAAUGUCAAGCCUGGUUAGUACCUAGAUGGGUGACUGCUUGGGAAUACCAAGUGCUGUAA
Acanthosepion pharaonis is the source of this 96-nucleotide non-coding RNA. Lineage: Eukaryota; Metazoa; Mollusca; Cephalopoda; Sepiida; Sepiidae. The record is from the annotation of a GenBank genome assembly.